This 504-nucleotide ribosomal RNA is filed under the name uncultured bacterium. Its description in RNAcentral is "partial 16S ribosomal RNA". It matches the Rfam family "Bacterial small subunit ribosomal RNA", at positions 30 to 523 of the family's 1533-position model. The record is from RNAcentral.
AUUGAACGCUGGCGGCAUGCUUUACACAUGCAAGUCGAACGGCAGCAUGGGUGCUUGCACCUGAUGGCGAGUGGCGAACGGGUGAGUAAUAUAUCGGAACGUACCCGGAAAUGGGGGAUAACGUAGCGAAAGUUACGCUAAUACCGCAUAUGCCCUGAGGGGGAAAGUGGGGGAUCCGCAAGGACCUCACGUUUUCGGAGCGGCCGAUAUCAGAUUAGCUAGUUGGUGAGGUAAAGGCUCACCAAGGCGACGAUCUGUAGCUGGUCUGAGAGGACGACCAGCCACACUGGGACUGAGACACGGCCCAGACUCCUACGGGAGGCAGCAGUGGGGAAUUUUGGACAAUGGGGGCAACCCUGAUCCAGCCAUGCCGCGUGAGUGAAGAAGGCCUUCGGGUUGUAAAGCUCUUUCGGACAGAAAGAAAUCGCACAGGAUAAUACCUUGUGUGGAUGACGGUACUGUAAGAAGAAGCACCGGCUAACUACGUGCCAGCCGCCGCCGUAA